AAGAUUGAUAUGGCAGCCUAUCAGAGUAACUAUGACAAUAAAAGCCUCAUUUGGAAUGAAUCCAUAGCUUUUUGGAUAUCAU
Molecule: small nucleolar RNA, 82 nt
Filed under: Oryza sativa Indica Group (long-grained rice)
Lineage: Eukaryota; Viridiplantae; Streptophyta; Magnoliopsida; Poales; Poaceae
Also listed under: 1 other name
Description: Small nucleolar RNA SNORD46
Source: RNAcentral